This 497-nucleotide ribosomal RNA is filed under the name uncultured bacterium. Its description in RNAcentral is "partial 16S ribosomal RNA". It matches the Rfam family "Bacterial small subunit ribosomal RNA", at positions 28 to 507 of the family's 1533-position model. The record is from RNAcentral.
GAUGAACGCUGGCGGCGUGCCUAAUACAUGCAAGUCGAGCGAACAGAUGAGGAGCUUGCUCCUCUGACGUUAGCGGCGGACGGGUGAGUAACACGUGGAUAACCUACCUAUAAGACUGGGAUAACUUCGGGAAACCGGAGCUAAUACCGGAUAAUAUAUUGAACCGCAUGGUUCAAUAGUGAAAGACGGUUUUGCUGUCACUUAUAGAUGGAUCCGCGCCGCAUUAGCUAGUUGGUAAGGUAACGGCUUACCAAGGCAACGAUGCAUAGCCGACCUGAGAGGGUGAUCGGCCACACGGGAACUGAGACACGGUCCAGACUCCUACGGGAGGCAGCAGUAGGGAAUCUUCCGCAAUGGGCGAAAGCCUGACGGAGCAACGCCGCGUGAGUGAUGAAGGUCUUCGGAUCGUAAAACUCUGUUAGUAGGGAAGAACAAAUGUGUAAGUAACUAUGCACGUCUUGACGGUACCUAAUCAGAAAGCCACGGCUAACUACGUG